GGGGUGGCUUGUAGCUCAGUGGUAGAGAAUCUGCUUUGCAUGCAGAAGCUAUCAGGUUCGAACCUUGCCCUUUCCA
Podarcis lilfordi (Lilford's wall lizard) is the source of this 76-nucleotide non-coding RNA. NCBI's taxonomy places the organism in Eukaryota, Metazoa, Chordata, Lepidosauria, Squamata, Lacertidae. The record is from the annotation of a GenBank genome assembly.